RNAcentral lists this ribosomal RNA (376 nucleotides) under Phimochirus sp. ULLZ 9679. Its description in RNAcentral is "partial small subunit ribosomal RNA". The record is from RNAcentral. Lineage: Eukaryota; Metazoa; Arthropoda; Malacostraca; Decapoda; Paguridae.
AACCAGGGAUUAGAUACCCUAUUAUAGUUAAAGUAAAUUUAAACCAGAGUAUUAGUAGUUAUUUUCUUUAAAUUCAAAGAAUUUGGCGGUAUUUUAGUCCUUUUAGAGGAACCUGUUUUAUAAACGAUAAACCACGAAUAUCUUACCUGCUUUAUGUUUGUAUACCGUCAUUAUCAGACAAUUUUAAGAGAGUUAAUUGUUGAAAAUAAGAUAAGUUAAAAAAAUUAGAUCAAGGUGCAGCUUAUGUGUAGGAGAAAAUGGGUUACAAUAAGAAUAAUUUAAUACGGAGGUUUUUCUGAAACUGGAAAAAUGAAGGUGGAUUUAAUUGUAAUUAUAUUUAAUUGAGUAGAUUUGAUAUAGGCUCUAAAAUAUGUAC